Molecule: ribosomal RNA, 568 nt
Filed under: Titanoderma sp. LAF6557A
Lineage: Eukaryota; Rhodophyta; Florideophyceae; Corallinales; Lithophyllaceae
Description: eukaryotic LSU rRNA
Rfam family: Eukaryotic large subunit ribosomal RNA
Source: RNAcentral
GAAUGAACUAGCCCUGAAAAUGGAUGUCGCUUAAGCGGAGUGCCGACACCGACCCGUUUGGGUAAGCAAAGACCUAAAUGAGUAGGAGGGCGUGGCGAUUUUGUUCAGAAGGGUUCGACGCAAGUCGGCCUGGAACGGUCGCUAGUGCAGAUCUUGGUGGUAGUAGCAAAUAUUUAAGCGUGAUCCUUAAAGGACGAAGCGGGGAAGGGUUCCAUGCGAACAUUGAUUGGGCAUGGGUGAGUCGUUCCUAAGCCGGGGGGCAAUCGUUUUACGAUCGGCGAAAGGGAAGUUGGUUAAAAUUCCAACACACGGAUGUGAAGGCGGCGACGCAAAUUGAGGUGGAGACGCUAGCGGUGACACUAGGCAGAGUUUUCUUUUCUGUUUAACCUGUGCUGCACUCUGUGGAAUCCGUUUAUCGGGAGAAACAGGUGCCUAACGGGAAGAGCGUCGGGGGGUCCCCGGCGUCUAGUAUGUCACCGAUAGCCCUUGAAAAUCCAUCUGCAAUCUAAUUUCACGCCGUGGCGUACCGAUAACCGCAGCAGGUCCCCAAGGUGAACAGCCUCUGUCU